CCUCGUCGGCUUUGUUGGUGGUGGUGUACUAGUCUUGCACUUCUUCCUGGACAUAGUAGUGGUUUACGUUUCAAAUAGUGGAUUUUCGAAUAGUGAAUUUACGUUUUUUUUGUUUGUCAGUUUUGUGUUGUGUUAGUAGUGAAUUAAGUAUGUUUUUAGUGGAUUUCAAUAAGUUUGUUGUGGAUUAUGUUAAUAUUAAAAUGGA
RNAcentral lists this long non-coding RNA (205 nucleotides) under Erythranthe guttata (spotted monkey flower). RNAcentral describes it as "long non-coding RNA (EGUT_LNC000700)". Lineage: Eukaryota; Viridiplantae; Streptophyta; Magnoliopsida; Lamiales; Phrymaceae. The record is from RNAcentral.